This 253-nucleotide ribosomal RNA is filed under the name uncultured prokaryote. RNAcentral describes it as "partial 16S ribosomal RNA". It matches the Rfam family "Bacterial small subunit ribosomal RNA", at positions 524 to 776 of the family's 1533-position model. The record is from RNAcentral.
UACGAAGGGGGCUAGCGUUGUUCGGAAUUACUGGGCGUAAAGCGCACGUAGGCGGAUACUUAAGUCAGGGGUGAAAUCCCGGGGCUCAACCCCGGAACUGCCUUUGAUACUGGGUAUCUCGAGUCCGGAAGAGGUGAGUGGAAUUCCGAGUGUAGAGGUGAAAUUCGUAGAUAUCAGGAGGAACACCUGUGGUGUAGACAGCUUACUGGACCACGACUGACGCUGAGACACGAAAGCGUGGGUAGCAAACAGG